Felis catus (domestic cat) is the source of this 7250-nucleotide RNA transcript. It is a transcript of the gene named TatD DNase domain containing 2, with no coding region annotated. The record is from RefSeq and is a predicted model, not a curated record. The transcript is spliced from 9 exons. Lineage: Eukaryota; Metazoa; Chordata; Mammalia; Carnivora; Felidae.
GGCUGCGGCGGCAGGGGUCACCGGGCGAGCCGGAGGCUGUCCCGUGGCGGCCGAGCGCCGCACUGCUGGCUCCUGAGGGGCGGCUCGGGCCCCUAGGGCCCCGGGCUGGUCGGCGGGGCCGCGGGAGCAGGGCGGGCUGCGCGCCGGAUCUGGCCCUGCCCUGCGGCCCGCCCUCGGCAUUCCGGGCCUCUGGACCACGCGCCACCUCCAACCCCCUAAAGGCUGAGGGUCUGGUAGCCAUGUGUGGACCCUAAAGCGCCUUGUAGUCUUUUGAAGCGCUUUGACAUCUCGGAAGGGCUCUGUACUGCAAACUAAAUCGAAGCGCUUUGUAAUCCCGGAAGCGCUUUGACAUCUCCCUAGUAGCGCUGUGCAAACUGAAGCGCUUGGUGAUCGCGGAAGCACGUUGUGGGGUUUGGAAACCAAACCGACGCCCUUAGUAAAUCUUGGAUCGUUUUGACUAAGGCGAAGCGCUUUGGAAUCGCGAACAGUAGAAGCGCGUUGGUAUCUCCGAAACCUUGAGAACUGUGAUGGGCAGUGGAAAGAACGGGGAAAGGUGCCCAUGGCGUCGGAGCGGCGCAAGGUCAAGUACCACUGGAGCAGCACUUCGGAAGGGUGUCCCCGCAAGCGCAGCUGCCUCAGGGAGCCCGGUGAUGUGGCCCCCUCCAGCCGGUCAGCUCCUAGCUCUGCGUCGCGUUCAGGAGGCACCAGCAGCCCCAAGCGCCUGAAAGCCCAGAAGGAGGACGAUGUGGCCUGCACCCCGAGGUUGCCCUGGGGCUCAUCCUGCCGCAGAAAUUCCUCCUCCUCCUCCUCCUCUUCCUCCUCCUCGCAUUCCUCUGGCCCAGGUGUGGGCGGGGCUGCCCCCAAAGGCUGCCUGAUUCGGAGCACACGGGGAUUCCUUUCAUCGUCCAGAGGAUCCCCUCUUCGCUCUGCCAACCCCUCUCCGGAAGAAAUGGCUUCUCUAGAGGAGGAAGCCUGCAGCCUUAAGGUUGAUUCGAAAGAUAGUUCUCGUAACUCCACAAACUCUGAAUUUGCAGCCGAAGCUGAGGGUCAGAAUGACACAAUUGAGGAACCAAACAAGGUCCAGAAAAGGAAGAGGGAUAGGUUUCGAGACCAAGGCUCUACAAUGAUCUACCUGAAGGCUAUCCAGGGCAUCUUGGGAAAGUCGAUGCCAAAAAGGAAGGGAGAGGCUUCCACUGGGGCCACACCAAACACAAGGGAGCGUCCCAGCCGUGGAGAAGGGCCAGCCAGGAGUGCCACUGUGUCUCCUCCUCAGAAAGGGAAAGAGUCAGCCCCAGAGGUAAGAGCAGAGGAGGAAAAGGCUGUGCUGGAGAGGACCAGCUUCUGCGACAGGAGAGUGGUGAUAGACCCUCAGGAGAAACCCAGCGAGGAGACACCUGGUGACCGAAGGACAGUCAUUGACAAGCAUUCUCCACCUCUGGAGUUUUUGGAUGACUCUGACUCUCAUUUAGAAAGCCAGAAGCCUAAAGAAAGGGAGGUGGUGAUAGAGCGCACCUCUUCAGGAAGUGACUGGUCUGAUGUAGACGAAGUCUCCACAGUCCGAUUCUCUCAGGAGGAGCCCGGCUCGCUGAAACCCUCCACAGUUCCAGAGCCUUCUGCCUUCCCCACUGACUAUGUCAUGUACCCGGCUCAUUUGUACAGUAGUCCGUGGUGUGACUACGCCAGCUAUUGGACCAGCAGCCCCAAGCCUUGCGGCUACCCCUCUGUGGGCGCUGGCAGUGACACGCUGCAGGCAGGGCGGAGCAACCGGGGCCUCCUGAGUGAUUGUCCCCCUAACUCUGCAGCGACUUCCCAGAAUACUUCCAGAGACCAGGAGGCAACAGAGGAAGGCACAUCCCAGAACUCCCGUUCAUUUCAUUUCUCCAGAAGCUCGGAAGAAGAGGUGAAGGAGAAAAGAGCACUCCAGGAGGAGAUGGCACCACGUCCCUGCGGAGGCCACGCAUCCAGCUCCCUGCCAAGGAGCCAUCGGGGGUCAGGCCUAGAAGAGGGUUUCAUCGAUACCCACUGUCACCUGGACAUGCUGUAUUCCAAGUUGUCUUUCAAAGGGUCCUUUACCAAGUUCAGAAAAAUUUAUAGCAGCUCCUUCCCUAAGGAGUUUCAGGGCUGCAUCUCUGACUUCUGUGAUCCUCGGACACUGACUGAUUGCCUGUGGGAGGAGCUCUUGAAAGAGGAUCUGGUUUGGGGGGCCUUUGGCUGUCAUCCUCAUUUUGCACGUUACUACAGUGAGAGUCAAGAAAGAAAUCUUUUGCAAGCCUUAAGGCACCCCAAGGCUGUGGCAUUUGGGGAAAUGGGCUUGGAUUACUCGUAUAAGUGCACCACGCCUGUCCCAGAACAGCACAAGGUGUUUGAGAGACAGCUGCAGCUGGCCGUAUCUCUGAAGAAGCCCUUGGUGAUCCACUGCCGAGAAGCUGACGAAGAUCUGCUGAACAUCAUGAAAAAAUUUGUGCCCUCAGACUACAAGAUCCAUAGGCACUGCUUCACUGGCAGCUACCCAGUCAUCGAGCCUCUGCUGAAGCACUUCCCCAACAUGUCUGUGGGCUUCACAGCAGUCCUGACUUACUCCUCAGCCUGGGAGGCCCGGGAAGCUCUGAAGCAGAUCCCGCUGGAGAGAAUCAUUGUGGAAACGGACGCUCCCUACUUCCUGCCCCGACAGGUUCCCAAAAGCCUCUGCCAGUAUGCCCACCCAGGCCUGGCCUUGCAUACGGUCCGAGAGAUUGCGAGGGUCAAAGAUCAGCCGCUCUCCCACACCUUGGCCAUCCUGCGUGAGAACACCAGCCGCCUCUACAAUCUUUAAGCAGAGAGGGUGCAGUCAGGAGAAAAAGGACAACCAGUGGCCUGACAGAAGAUGGGCUGGUUUGCUCUCUGCCUGUAUGUCCCAGGUCAGGGAUGUGUCUGAAGAGAGCCCCUUGGAACGGAGGAAACCAGGACAGGAUGUUUGCCUCGAAGCCCCGUCCUAAAGCUCUACUUCUGGCUCGGGGGUGGGGUGGGGAGCAGCGUGGAACAAGGCGCGGGUAGGGUCUACCUCCCGGGGCAGUCAGUGACGCAGGAAGGGGCUGAGAGGAGGGCGCAGUGAGUUCGCCACUCCAAGUCCUGGUGCUCUGCAGCUUGCGACUUUGAGCAGUCUUCACAGACCCUCUCCUACUCGUCUGAGCACCUGUGUGUGUGUGUGUAAUUCCGCUCCUGGGUCUCCGAUCUAAAGAUGAACUCCCAAGUGGGAAACCUCCUCUGGGGGACGUUAACUGGAGCCUUGUCUCGGAGGUUUAUGGUCCUUCAACCGAGAAGUCCUCCCCUUCUUUCCCUGGAUAAUGCUUCGGUUCGGCUGUCCCCGCUGCUGCCUCAGCUCUGCUUCAGCAUGAGUGGAAGACCUUGGCUGCUCGUCUCACUGGUUCUUCUGCCAUCGGUCUGGAGGGGCGGGGGACGCUCACUGUCCGGGGGAAGUCCUGGCCAAUGGGGAUCUGGACAGACUGGGGGACUCCAGGAGGAGGUCUUUGGGAGGAAGAGGACCCCUGAGAAGGUGUUUCUGCUUACCGAUGCCCCCAGGGCUACGGCUCGGUUGUGUUCAUCUGGUAAGAGUUCAGUUUGCAGCAGAUGCGACCUGCUAGUCUGCUGUUGGGACGUCCCACCUGCCUGUUGCUCCAUUUUUGCCCCAUUCUCCUGGAACACUGGACCAAGAAUACUUCUGUUUCAUCCCAUGUAACAGCCCCUUAUGUGCCCCACCCGGGUUGAGAGGGGUUUUGCUGCUGAAAAAUGAAGGAUGAGCAGGUAGAAGAACAGGGGUCCACACUUCCUUGUGCAUGCAGCCUUCUGCGGUGAGUGGCCUGACCUUUUACAAAGCUAAGAGCACCACCCCACAUUACAGCUGAGGAGCCCUCCGCUCACAUACUCUUCCUGAGUCGUGCCUCUGACAGCACCCACUCUGGAGUUGAGCUGGAUUGGGACUCAAAGGCUAGCUUUACCACUUGGCAGUGGACAGCCCUGGGCAGGUCUUCCACCUUCAGUGCCAGUUUCCUCAUUGGUAAGUUGGGGAUAAAGGCCUACACUGGUCUGUUGUGUUGCAACAUAGGACGGCUCCAGUGUAGUACCCGCUCGCGAUAGGUUUCAGUAUAAAUUAUACCUGCUGUUGUGACGACUGAUUCAGGUGAGGGUCUCAAGGCUUCUGUUAACAGGUGAUACUAGGUUCAGGGUUGACCAGGACCAGAACCAUGGUCUCCGGCACUGACAGGGUCCAUAAUCUGCAUGAAGUGUACCCACUUUCCGGGCCAGUCUCCUAAUUGUGGGUAUUUGGUUAAUACUGCCCUGUGUUUGCAUGGCACGUUAUGGGUCACCUCCAUGCAUUAGUUCAUCCAAGUCUUCUCUGUAAGGCAGACUUGUAUUCCCACUUUCUGGAAGAGGACAUGUGUUCAGAGGACACACACCCCCCUCACCGGAGCCCACGUCCAGUGUGACUGGAAUCACAAGGAUGUUACACAGAUACCAGCUUUGUGUAUGUCGGCUGGGGGUUCAGCCAGCCUACAGGGACCAGGGUCUUGGCGAAUGUUGUUCUAAUACACUGACAAACAGGAGUGAACAUGAGCUUUUUAGGGAGAGGUUGGGGUAAUGCAGGAAGAAUUAUAAGCAAUAUGAAUUUAUUUAACUAUUUUGGAAACAAAACCCCCCAAAUAAUGCCUGAAACCCAAAAAGUACAUAAAAAUGGCCAAAAAUAUUUUAAAAUAAUAGAUUUGAAGAUCAUUUGUAGCUUUUUUCUCCUAACAUGAGUGCUUUCAGCAGGACAGUAAAUUACAAACCAUAUCAAAUCAUGUUAAGGCAGAUGAUCUAUCUGGUUGCACUUGUAACUACUCCUGGGGAAGGAAUCUUGUUGGAGCUAUUCCUCCCAGCGGUUUGGUCAGUUGGUCCAGGAAAGGGCAGUCCUGGAGGCAGCAGGAGGGGAGCUGAGCCUUUCCUGUCUUGUCACUGCUCGUUCUGCUGGCCCUCUGUGACGGAAGUGGACACAGAACCUUGGCCCUUGUUGACAUCACUGAUGCACACCCACUGCCCGUCGACAGACUCCUUCCACAGGGUCACCUGCAAGCCAGUGCACACAGCCUGUUACAGGUCUGCACCCUUCCCUCUGCUGUCCUUACCUUCCCAGAUCUUCAGCAAGACGGUGACAAAGGAUGUUUCUGAUUUAGCUCCCCCUCACAGGAAGAACAAAUAUUCAUGAACAAGAAGCCACUGAGCAAAUCCUAGAAGAUAGGAAUGUGGCUGAAGCACCCCCUGCCAGACCAAAGAGACCAACUCCUUGUACCAGAAGGAUAGGCUGGAAGGCUACAUGCUGACUGCAUGGCCCCCACCCAGGUUGACUCAACACCACGUCCAACUUCUGUUUUUCCAGGGGGAAAGGAGCACAGGGGUGACAUCCAGUCACUCAGCGCUGUAAGUCAUGGCCUCGUGGGAUCCCUCAUUCUGGGCUCUGCCCCAUGGGGACUGCAGGCACAUCUGUGGGUUUCAACUACUGGGAAUCUGAUGGUGACUAAGUGGGGUUCUUAAGUGGUCAACACCACAGGGGAGGCACGGUCCACCUCCCGGUCACCAGGGCCAAGUGAACCCAACUGCCCUCCUCCUCUAAGUCCGAGUCUAUGCCAAUGGCUUGAAUAAAUCAUUGGUCCCAAGUGAGAUAGAAUCAUCAUGCCCGUGCACUGGGUGGGCUUCCCGGAACCGGCACUGUGUUAUUAACAGACCAAGUUCCUAGCUGCAGAGCCCAAGCAGUAGUCCCAUCCAGUAUCUCUGCUCAUCUACAGCACCAAGCUGGGGGUCCAAUCUGCCCCAGGGAAUGCUCUACAGGGCAGUUCUGCCAGCUCUUGAACCUGGUCUGCCCCCACCCAGGCAGAAAGGCUGAGUCACAGCCCCACUUGCUGCAGUUCCUGGCUCUUGGUCUCUCAUCCAGAAAGCCAAUUUACAGACUCUUGCAGAGAGCCCAGUCCUGACUGUAGGAAGCCUGACCAGAGAAUCCAGGUCACAGUGACACCCACUAGCUUCACUUGGGCAGGGAACUCGAGUCAGCAGUCCUACCUGCUGUUCUCACCCAGUGGAAUACCCUCUAUGCUCAGAACUCAAACAGUUGCUUCACUAAAAAACAGACCCUAACAGCAGCCACACCUGUCCAAGGACCAGGAAUGACCAGAAACCCAACUGCGCUGACCGGUCAAACUGUCUGCCAAAGUGAGCCUGCAACGUUUGGAAGAAGGGACCACUUAACUCCAAUAUCACAGAAAGCCAGGUAAAUGUGACACAACCAAAUGAAACUAAUAGAGCUCUACAAUGGACUCUAAAGACAGGAAGACCUAUGAACUGCCAAGAGGCCCUAAAUAAACAGGGCUACAAAAGACAUGUCAGAAUCAUCAAAAGUCAAAGAAUUUUAAGAGCAGCUAGAAAAAAAAAAGGUUACAUAUAAGGGAACCCCCAUAAGACUGUGAGAUUUCUCAAUAGAAGCUUUUCAGGCCAGAAGAAAAUGGGAUGACACAAAAUACUCAAAGCAAGAAAAACUAUUAACCAAGACUACUCUACCAGGCAAAAGUGUCCUUCGGCAAUGGAUAGACUUUCUUGGACAAACAAAAGCAGAGGGAACUCAUCACCGCUACAUCUGCCUUACAAGAAAUGCUAAAGGGAGUUGAGUAUAAAUAAAAGGAUGCUCAUUAACACUAUACAAGGCAGCAUAAAACUUACUGGUAAUGAUAAAUAAUUAAAGUUGGAUUCUGUAAUAUGGUGAUGUUAGUGCAUAAUUCACUUCUAGCUCUAGUUUAAAAGAUAAUGUAGUAAGAAAUAACCAUUGUAGUUAAAUAACCAUAACUACAAUAACCUGUUAUUAGUUACACAUUAUAAAAUAUAUAAAUUGUAACAUCAAUAACCUAAAAUGUGAGGGGGAGAAGUCAAAGUGUUCAGAUGUUAUUUUAAAACAGAGUGUUUUAAAAUGUCUUAUGUAAACCUUAUAGCCACAAGGGAAAAACCUGUGGUAAUAUUAGACCAAAGAACAUGACAAGUCAAAGCAUACUGAUACCAUAAAACUUCAAAACACAAAAAAAGAAGGAACAAUGUAUCAAGAAAACCAUAAGAAAAUAAACAAAAUGGCAAUUGUGUAAGGCCUUAUUAAUUAAUACUUACUUCAAAUGUAAAUGGUUUAAACUCUCCCGGGGAGACAACACCUGGCUGAAUGAAUAAAAAAAAAACCCAAAAACACAAGAUCCAACAAUAUGCUU